This 318-nucleotide long non-coding RNA is filed under the name Gossypium raimondii (Peruvian cotton). RNAcentral's name for it is "long non-coding RNA (GRAI_LNC009824)". The record is from RNAcentral. Lineage: Eukaryota; Viridiplantae; Streptophyta; Magnoliopsida; Malvales; Malvaceae.
CUAUACCUCUAAAGAUGCAGUAGGAAGGAAUGAAGCUACUUAAAGAAGAAAAGCAUCGAAGAAGUUUAAGGCUCAGUAGGACCAGGCAUAAUUGGGCCAUGUAGUCUUUGCUCUAUUCCCGUUACACGACAAUGAGCAAAGAGGGGCAGCUGUAAUAAGGCCCAAUCGGCCUGGGCUUAAACACAAAAUACAUGACCCAUUAAAGAAUAAGCCCAAACAAAACAACCCUGGCCCAAAGCAAAAACAAAAACAAAAAAAAAGAGAACCUAGCCCUAAGGAGCGCCGCAGCAAGCCCCGAAUGCACCCAGCAGCCUCCCC